Molecule: non-coding RNA, 1157 nt
Organism: Microcebus murinus (gray mouse lemur)
Lineage: Eukaryota; Metazoa; Chordata; Mammalia; Primates; Cheirogaleidae
Source: RefSeq, a predicted model, not a curated record
AUUAAAAAUGUGACACAGGGACUAAGAGGCCGGUGACGUCACAUACACAGGGGGCUAGGGAGGCGUGAGGAUGGGAAACUGCCUGCGAGGGUGUUGACAGGCAGUAGAUCGUGGCUCUGUCAUUGUGACCUCACCACCAAGCAUUUAAAGAUUUAGGAGUCACAGCAAAGUGGCACACAGAGUCCCUAAGAAUUCGGCCCUUCUCUCUGUCAUCUCUUCUGGACUCAAACACCUAGAGCACAUGGUAGCGGGCCCUCGAUACUAGGCACUGCUGAGUGUUGGAAAGAGCACAGUAGAUGGGAAAUGGAGUUUUUAGAGAUGAAAAGUCAUCGACAGGGAACAGAAUACGGGAUCUGCUGCUGAGAAGAGGCCCUAGAUAUUCUGUGGCUGCCAGAGCUAUUGAGAAGCCCAUGUGUCAGUGAGCAGCUAUUGAGAAGCCCAUGUGUCAAGGAACUGAAGACUCCAAACAACAGCCAAUAAGGAACUGAGUCAUGCCUGUGACUACCUGAGUGAGCUUGAAAACAGACCCAUCAGUGCUAGGCAAGUCUUGAAAUCACUGUAGCUCUGGCUAAUGUCUCUGCAACCUCAGGAGAGACCCAGAUCCAGAACCACCCAGCCACGCUGCUCCUGGAUUCCUCAGGCAUUAUUCCCAUAUUGCUGAUGAAGACACUGGGCCUCAGGAUGUGCUGUCAUUCCAGGGAAGCUGGCAGAGACUUGCAGACUCUGGUUGUGUUGAAGAUUAAAGAGAAUGAUGUGUAUAAAAGAAGUAUGGGGAGUGGAAAUUCUUGCUCCCUUUGAAAUGCCAUUACAAACACACAGUGAUAGGAAAGUAACCAGUAGGUCACAGGAAGAGACAGUUUAGCUAGAAACAACAUGUAUACACAACUUUUUGGUGAAUUUUGGGUAAUUCCUCUUUUCCCUCUGCUUUCGACUGAGCACACGGAUCUGCCAUACAGGCAUAGAAAGGCCACGAGUCCUGGUAUUUUCUUCAGGUGGUGGAAACAAAAUUAGCUCCAGCCUCCUUGACUCCAGUGUUCAAAUUGAGAGAAGAAAAAUCUCUCUCUUGGAUGUUCGUAUUAGAGACAAGUCCUAGAAGGUGGAAUGGAGUCAUCCUCAGGCUGGACUGCGACGAAGCUGUGCUCGUGCUGGCGGGUGGC